Molecule: long non-coding RNA, 752 nt
Organism: Neofelis nebulosa (Clouded leopard)
Lineage: Eukaryota; Metazoa; Chordata; Mammalia; Carnivora; Felidae
Exons: 3
Source: RefSeq, a predicted model, not a curated record
GCGAGGCCCUGGCUCUCUUCCAACCUUGGAGUGAGACAUUGGGGGAAGGGCCUCUUCCUUGUGGGGGUCUCAGUUUCUCCCUCUGUGAAAUGGGCAGGUUUGAUUGGAGCUGGAGAAUCUCUUCCAAGUGCCAGGGUCAUGCAGUCCUGUGGAGCCUUAGCAGGGAGGGAUGAAGGGUGAGAUCGUGGCCUCGGCGGUGAUGGGAGGGGUGGCUGUGGCAGGAGGCUGAGUCAGAGGCACUGUCAGGGCUGAGAGCAAGGGAACAGACCUGCCUCUAGUGCCCAGUGACUUGCAAGCCACAGGAGGGGAGCAGCCUGUGUCAUCAGCGAGCCUGUAAACACCCUCCAAGGACAGCAAGGCCCCUGCUUGUCUUGGAUCCGACCACAGGCCCAUCCCAGGGAUUUGGGGCCAGAGACCGGUGAAUUUCUCGAACACGCAAUUCUCUUCCUGCCUCUCCAGGACUGUGCACAGGCUGUUCCCUCCACCUGGAAUGUUCUCUCCCUUUCUCCAGGCUUCACCAAGAUAAUGCUUCCGGCUGGUUCAAAUUUCGGCUCAAGGAUCACCUCCUUCUCUGUUCUUCCAGCAAAGGCAGACGAGAAGGCUGGCGCUGUGGCCUCCACCUUGGAUCAUGAGGAGGGUCACACCCUAAGGACGGCAGAGUUGUGACCAGGAAGGAGCCUGGGACAGCUUUGUGGAGUCUUCAAACCAGCCCUGAACUGCCUACAUCUGGACUUCAUUCACACGAGAGAAAA